RNAcentral lists this transfer RNA (72 nucleotides) under Camelus bactrianus (Bactrian camel). It matches the Rfam family "tRNA". From Rfam's summary of the family: Transfer RNA (tRNA) molecules are approximately 80 nucleotides in length. Their secondary structure includes four short double-helical elements and three loops (D, anti-codon, and T loops). Further hydrogen bonds mediate the characteristic L-shaped molecular structure. tRNAs have two regions of fundamental functional importance: the anti-codon, which is responsible for specific mRNA codon recognition, and the 3' end, to which the tRNAs corresponding amino acid is attached (by aminoacyl-tRNA synthetases). tRNAs cope with the degeneracy of the genetic code in two manners: having more than one tRNA (with a specific anti-codon) for a particular amino acid; and 'wobble' base-pairing, i.e. permitting non-standard base-pairing at the 3rd anti-codon position. The record is from Rfam by way of RNAcentral. RNAcentral also lists the same sequence under 2 other names. Lineage: Eukaryota; Metazoa; Chordata; Mammalia; Artiodactyla; Camelidae.
GAGGAUAUAGCUCAGUGGUAAAGCGUGCGCUUAGCAGGCACAAGGUCCUGGGUUCAAUCCUCAGUACCUCCA